CCGGGGGGGGCUAGGGUCAGUCUUAUCUCUGGUGUAAUUUUCCUGUCUUAUCUGGUGUCCUGUGUGAAUUUAUGCAUGCUCCCUCUCUCUCUCCCUCCCAGAGGACCUGAGCCCUAGGAUCAUGACUCAGGACUACCUGGCUUUGACUCCUAGCUAUCCCAGUCCACCUGGUCGUGCUGCUGCUCCAGUUUCUACUGUUCUGCCUACAGCUAGGGAACCCUGACCUGUUCACCGGAUGUGCUACCUUGUCCCGGACCUACUGUUUUUCGACCUUCUCCUCCUCUCUACCACACUUGCUGUCUCGACAUCUGAAUGCUUGGCUAUGAAAAGCCAACGGACAUUUACUCCUGAGGGCCUACCAAAGCAAGGUUGCUCAAACAACUGUGGGGUGUUUGUUUUGAUGGAAAACAUGCUGCAAAUUAGGCGACGGUGGUGCCUACUUUUCCUGCAGAACUUUCCCAUGCCGUCUGAAGAAGAGCGGUUGAAAGAUCGAAAAAGGCGGUGAAAUCAAAACGCACUACAGGAUGAUGUAGAUGUCUCCCCAAGAAGUCACAUCAGCAUCCAGCUCUGCAGGACCAGGAAGCAGAUGUUCUUCUAAGGGACACUUUAGAGGCAGUAAGGUGGUGCGAACGACAAACAUUUAAAGGCACUGUUUCCCUCAGUGUAAUUGGGAUGGACGUGGAAGACCUCAUUAUAAC
Oncorhynchus tshawytscha (Chinook salmon) is the source of this 698-nucleotide long non-coding RNA. The record is from Ensembl. NCBI's taxonomy places the organism in Eukaryota, Metazoa, Chordata, Actinopteri, Salmoniformes, Salmonidae.